RNAcentral lists this long non-coding RNA (543 nucleotides) under Phoenix dactylifera (date palm). RNAcentral describes it as "long non-coding RNA (PDAC_LNC010651)". Lineage: Eukaryota; Viridiplantae; Streptophyta; Magnoliopsida; Arecales; Arecaceae. The record is from RNAcentral.
GCAAGUGUGAUCUAGUCGGCUGUUUGGUUUCCUUUGCAAUAGAUGUGGGUGGUUUGAACAGCAAAUAAAGCAUGCUACUAAUGGAUGAUAUCAAGCAUCAAUAGGUGAGUGGCAUACCUACAAGUGAACGAAGAAGUAAUCCACAAGUAAUAACUAUGGCUAAAUCCCCUUCAAGCCAAACUAGUUGUGCUUGAAAUUGAAGUAUGGCUGUGCCAAGACCUGCCCAAGCAGCUACUAGCUCCGCAUAUGAGACUGUAGCGGUUGUGAGCCUUUUCCCAUAAGCACAUAGCAACCUUCCCUGUUGAUAUUGUAUUACAAAAUCUUGCUGCUGCAUAGUCACCGCGUACCUUCAAAACACCAAGGGGAGGGGGCAGCCAACAAACAUAAGUAUUCAAAAAACACAAGUUAAAGUGUAAAGUAGUACCACCCCAGAACCUUGAUUGUGUAAUGUGGGUAGAAUGAAAGUCAGCCAACCCGAAUUCAACGAGAAAAUAGAUAUAUGUCUUACUAGCUAGCGAGAGGUUGACAGGCUUGCUUGAAACA